UGCAUUUUGGGGUGACAUUUUGCCCUUGGUUUAGCCUUUUAUCACUUUAGUUUACCUUUUAGAAUUUGUAAUAUCAAUUUUUUUUAAGACCUUUUGGGUAAUUCAGUGUUUACCAUCCCAACACAUGUCACCGUAUUGAUCUUCUUUCUUUCUCUCUCUUCUUUCUGUUUAUCCUUAUUCUCUGUAUCAUCUUUCCUUCACUCCAGUAGAAGAAUCGUCUUCAACUUCAUAUGUUAGUCGGAAGUGGUUGGACUCUUCGUCGUCCUGCUUCCGAUUUACAGUUUGGUCCCUGUUUUGGAUCAAAAGUCAGGGUAUUUUUGUCACUCUGCUCACUUCGUAUUUUCUGUAGCAAUCUUUUCACUUUGUGCGCUCUCCGAUACGCGCCUUUUCCGUCAACGUGGAAGACAAACCAAUUCUUGCUUCUGCUGCUGUCAGCUGUUUCUCCAAAUGUGUAACACUUGUAUUUCCAUGGAUAUCCGAUUAGGGGUGACGCUAAUAAUAUCUGCAAUAGCUUCUGUUCUGCUUUGGAUUUCCUGGCUUACUGCUCUGUUCCUUUUAGUGUCUCUACUUGCUGGCUGGAACAAGUGUCAUUUCGGAGACGUCACUACAAGUGGUCUCACUGGACGUUACCUAUCGCAAUUGGUUUACAUGGAUUUCCAAAAGCCUGGCCGUUGCUAAGGUUGUUUUCUAAUAUUAAGAAAUUGCAUCUUGAUAUGGAACAAUUAGUAUAAGAUGCAGAUGGUAAUUGCCUUACCAAUGGAAAGAGAAGUUUCAAAGAUAUUGCCACUAAUUACUGCCUAUCAUUAAAAUUGGAUAUGACUGAAGGAUCAUACUUUAUGAAUUUUCUGGUUAGUAGUGUUACUAUUGAAAGGCUCUGUCCAUUGGUUUUUCGAACAAGCAGUCGAAUGUUUCAUGAUUUACUCCAACAAAGGAUAGAUACCAAUUAUCUGCGGCAGAAUAGCCAAUUCAAUGGAUAUUUCACGUUGCCUUCAGAAGGAGUUUCAGAAAAAGGAGAAAGAUUCUCCAAUUAACUUUGUUUCUCCUAAUUUAAUUAUUAUGGAUGCAAGUGUUUUGCUGAAAAGUCACAGCACAACUACAGAGCAAAACAGUGAAGAUGUCGUUUCAAGAAGAAAGUGAUAAUAAAUCGGGUUCUACUUUCUUAACUCUGCUUUUUAGUAAUUUAAAAAUUUCUACCCUUUGUGUUUAUGAUGAAAUGCAAUUGAUAUAAAUAUUAGGGUAGAUAUUUAUUA
Molecule: non-coding RNA, 1250 nt
Organism: Nicotiana tabacum (common tobacco)
Lineage: Eukaryota; Viridiplantae; Streptophyta; Magnoliopsida; Solanales; Solanaceae
Source: RefSeq, a predicted model, not a curated record